AUUGAACGCUGGCGGCAUGCUUUACACAUGCAAGUCGGACGGCAGCACAGAGAAGCUUGCUUCUUGGGUGGCGAGUGGCGAACGGGUGAGUAAUAUAUCGGAACGUACCGAGUAAUGGGGGAUAACUAAUCGAAAGAUUAGCUAAUACCGCAUAUUCUCUGAGGAGGAAAGCAGGGGACCUUCGGGCCUUGCGUUAUUCGAGCGGCCGAUAUCUGAUUAGCUAGUUGGUGGGGUAAAGGCCUACCAAGGCGACGAUCAGUAGCGGGUCUGAGAGGAUGAUCCGCCACACUGGGACUGAGACACGGCCCAGACUCCUACGGGAGGCAGCAGUGGGGAAUUUUGGACAAUGGGCGCAAGCCUGAUCCAGCCAUGCCGCGUGUCUGAAGAAAGCCUUCGGGUUGUAAAGGACUUUUGUCAGGGAAGAAAAGGCUGUUGCUAAUAUCGACAGCUGAUGACGGUACCUGAAGAAUAAGCACCGGCUAACUACGUG
RNAcentral lists this ribosomal RNA (490 nucleotides) under uncultured bacterium. RNAcentral's name for it is "partial 16S ribosomal RNA". It matches the Rfam family "Bacterial small subunit ribosomal RNA", at positions 30 to 507 of the family's 1533-position model. The record is from RNAcentral.